Molecule: ribosomal RNA, 252 nt
Filed under: uncultured bacterium
Lineage: Bacteria
Description: partial 16S ribosomal RNA
Rfam family: Bacterial small subunit ribosomal RNA
Source: RNAcentral
ACAGAGGUCUCAAGCGUUGUUCGGAAUCACUGGGCGUAAAGCGUAUGUAGGCGGCGAGGUAAGUCAGAUGUGAAAGCCCAGGGCUCAACCCUGGAACUGCAUCCGAUACUGCCACGCUCGAGUAGUGGAGGGGUAUAUGGAAUUCACGGUGUAGCAGUGAAAUGCGUAGAUAUCGUGAGGAACACUAGUGGCGAAGGCGAUAUACUGGACACUCACUGACGCUGAGAUACGAAGGCUAGGGUAGCGAAAGGG